ACAAAAACUUUGACAAGAAGAGUAGUCCAUUUGCACAGUGAAGCGAACCUUGGAGGGUGGAAGCAGGGUCAACCGCGAUGGAUGAAAAGGAACUUUGAGUUGAUAAGCUGAAUGUGAACCAUAAAGUUUAAUCCGGUUGCCCCGUUAUCGCAAAAGUAGCAAUACUUGAGUCCGUCUAUGCGCACAUAGACGGAAAAUAAGGGUGGCACCACGAACUUUCGUCCCUAUA
RNAcentral lists this non-coding RNA (229 nucleotides) under Trichococcus sp. RNAcentral describes it as "T-box sequence". It matches the Rfam family "T-box leader". Rfam says of the family: Uncharged tRNA acts as the effector for transcription antitermination of genes in the T-box leader family. T-boxes are found upstream of many aminoacyl-tRNA synthetase genes and some amino acid biosynthetic genes usually in Gram-positive bacteria. Lineage: Bacteria; Bacillati; Bacillota; Bacilli; Lactobacillales; Carnobacteriaceae. The record is from RNAcentral.